Molecule: ribosomal RNA, 468 nt
Filed under: uncultured bacterium
Lineage: Bacteria
Description: partial 16S ribosomal RNA
Rfam family: Bacterial small subunit ribosomal RNA
Source: RNAcentral
GACGAACGCUGGCGGCGUGCUUAACACAUGCAAGUCGAACGGAAAGGCCCUGCUUUUGUGGGGUGCUCGAGUGGCGAACGGGUGAGUAACACGUGAGUAACCUGCCCUUGACUUUGGGAUAACUUCAGGAAACUGGGGCUAAUACCGGAUAGGAGCUCCUGCUGCAUGGUGGGGGUUGGAAAGUUUCGGCGGUUGGGGAUGGACUCGCGGCUUAUCAGCUUGUUGGUGGGGUAGUGGCUUACCAAGGCUUUGACGGGUAGCCGGCCUGAGAGGGUGACCGGGGACAAGGGGGCAAUGGUACGCACCGGACGGAGACGGGAGGAAGCAGCGGGGAGUAGGGGACGAUGGGCGGGAGCCGGAUGAAAGCGCGCCCCGGGGGGGAUGAAGGCGGGAGGGUUAGAGACCGCAUUAGCCUGAGACGAUGCGUGCGGGACGGGAAUGGGAAAAGAAGAACCGGCUAACUACGUC